This 482-nucleotide ribosomal RNA is filed under the name uncultured bacterium. Its description in RNAcentral is "partial 16S ribosomal RNA". It matches the Rfam family "Bacterial small subunit ribosomal RNA", at positions 30 to 507 of the family's 1533-position model. The record is from RNAcentral.
AUUGAACGCUGGCGGCAUGCCUUACACAUGCAAGUCGAACGGUAACGGGCCUUCGGGCGCCGACGAGUGGCGCACGGGUGAGUAAUACAUCGGAACGUGCCCGAUCGUGGGGGAUAACGAGGCGAAAGCUUUGCUAAUACCGCAUACGAUCUACGGAUGAAAGCCGGGGACCGCAAGGCCUUGCGCGGGCGGAGCGGCCGCUGGCAGAUUAGGUAGUUGGUGGGAUAAAAGCUUACCAAGCCGACGAUCUGUAGCUGGUCUGAGAGGAUGAUCAGCCACACUGGGACUGAGACACGGCCCAGACUCCUACGGGAGGCAGCAGUGGGGAAUUUUGGACAAUGGGCGCAAGCCUGAUCCAGCCAUGCCGCGUGAAGGAUGAAGGCCUUCGGGUUGUAAACUGCUUUUGUACGGAACGAAAAGCCUUCUUUUAAUACAGGAGGGUCAUGACGGUACCGUAAGAAUAAGCACCGGCUAACUACGUG